GUACCGCUGAAGAGUCCCAAACUAGGGCGAAACAGUCGUCCAGUAC
RNAcentral lists this non-coding RNA (46 nucleotides) under Trichobilharzia regenti. Lineage: Eukaryota; Metazoa; Platyhelminthes; Trematoda; Strigeidida; Schistosomatidae. The record is from RNAcentral.